This 364-nucleotide ribosomal RNA is filed under the name uncultured Prevotella sp. RNAcentral's name for it is "bacterial SSU rRNA". It matches the Rfam family "Bacterial small subunit ribosomal RNA", at positions 355 to 715 of the family's 1533-position model. Lineage: Bacteria; Pseudomonadati; Bacteroidota; Bacteroidia; Bacteroidales; Prevotellaceae. The record is from RNAcentral.
UGAGGAAUAUUGGGUCAAUGGACGGGAGUCUGAACCAGCCAAGUAGCGUGCAGGACGACGGCCCUAUGGGUUGUAAACUGCUUUUAUAGGGGGAUAAAGUGUGCCACGUGUGGCAUAUUGCAGGUACCCUAUGAAUAAGGACCGGCUAAUUCCGUGCCAGCAGCCGCGGUAAUACGGAAGGUCCGGGCGUUAUCCGGAUUUAUUGGGUUUAAAGGGAGCGUAGGCCGUCUUAUAAGCGUGUUGUGAAAUGUCGGGGCUCAACCUGGGCAUUGCAGCGCGAACUGUGAGACUUGAGUGCGCAGGAAGUAGGCGGAAUUCGUCGUGUAGCGGUGAAAUGCUUAGAUAUGACGAAGAACUCCGAUUG